UCCUCCCUCUGGCGGCGUGCUUAACACAUGCAAGUCGAACGGAAAGGCCCUGCUUUUGUGGGGUGCUCGAGUGGCGAACGGGUGAGUAACACGUGAGUAACCUGCCCUUGACUUUGGGAUAACUUCAGGAAACUGGGGCUAAUACCGGAUAGGAGCUCCUGCUGCAUGGUGGGGGUUGGAAAGUUUCGGCGGUUGGGGAUGGACUCGCGGCUUAUCAGCUUGUUGGUGGGGUAGUGGCUUACCAAGGCUUUGACGGGUAGCCGGCCUGAGAGGGUGACCGGCCACAUUGGGACUGAGAUACGGCCCAGACUCCUACGGGAGGCAGCAGUGGGGAAUAUUGCACAAUGGGCUGAAGCCUGAUGCAGCAACGCCGCGUGCGGGAUGACGGCCUUCGGGUUGUAAACCGCUUUCGCCUGUGACGAAGCGUGAGUGACGGUAAUGGGUAAAGAAGCACCGGCUAACUACGUG
This 468-nucleotide ribosomal RNA is filed under the name uncultured bacterium. RNAcentral's name for it is "partial 16S ribosomal RNA". It matches the Rfam family "Bacterial small subunit ribosomal RNA", at positions 36 to 507 of the family's 1533-position model. The record is from RNAcentral.